ACAGGAUGAAAACUGAUACACCAGUUACUAAUUACUCUUCACUCUUCAAACUGAUUCCCCUAAAGACUUCUACUUAGCAAAUACUAUAAAAUACGCUCUGUACAGGAAAGAAAUAAUAGCACAUGUAUUUGUGUUUUAUUAUUCAGACUGGCUGCCAUCCCAACUAGAUAAAGGAGAUUUUACUGGGCUGUAAUAUCUAGCACUUGCAUGUUUUCAGAGCACUCUAAACUGGUUGUCUCACUCUUUUCACACGAUCAGCAGGGAACACGUUCCCCAUUUUGCAGGGAAACCAAGGCCAGUAGAGGUGAAGCGGCAUACCCCAGGUCAUCACUCAGAUCGCUUGCCUCCAAGUCCAAGGCUCUUUCCCCUCCCAAUUCUCCUGAUCUGUGACCUCCUGGGCAUUCUGGCCAAUCUGCUUCCCUCUGACUUUGCAGACUGCACUGAUGGAACUACCACUAAGGCAGGUGUGAAGCCUGCAAUCUCCUGACCAGCUUGUGCUUCUUGGUUCUUAUGCAAGCCAGUUCUCUCUGUGAAAUAUUUCUAAGCAGCUCUCAACCACCAGGUCUAUGAGGGUCCCUGUUGUCCCUCAGCCAAGGCUGCUCUCUCCCCUAGAUCCCCACCUCCCAGGGUCACAAGGAUACACAAAACUAUUGCAGGAAACGUAGGUUCUUCCUGCAAUACAAUUAAAGCUGCUAACAUUUACUGAGUACCUACUGGUUGUUGUGAGGAUGAGGUAAUGUAUGUAAAGUUUUAGCACAGUCUGCGACAAUGUAUGUAAAGUUCUUAGCGUAGUCACUAUGCUAAGAACCUUACAUAAUUACCUCAUCCUCACAACAACCCAACAAAAAUUCUUACCCCUAUUUUACAGGUGAGGAUAUUGAGGUUCAGAAGGGCUAAGUGACUUGCCCAAGGUCAUCCAGUUAAUUGUUGAGGCAGCAUUCAUAACUCGAGCCUGUCAGACUCUAGAAUCCACUUUAUUUUUCCUCUGCUACACUGCCCUGGCUCCCUACCCUACAAGUGCUUAGAGAUCUAAAGCAAAGUAGAAAAGGAAAAGUGAGCAAGGCGGAGGGGCUUUUACAUUUUCACUGCCUGGCUCCCAACCCAGACUCUGGCAAGGCUAAUUCCAUGAUGUUUCACUCAGCGGCAGUCCCACCAGCCUGGAGCCCUGGGGAGCUGACCAGAGUCAAAAGGCUCCCUGGCAGGCUUGUUCUGGCAGCUGCCCAGCCGACUUGUGCUAACACAGCAACAGGCACAGGAAAGAGUCUAGAAAGAGUGGAAAAGCACCAGACACUGAACCGCUGCAGGGAGAGAAGUGAUUCCUGCCGUGCUCGGAGAGGACCCUAUACUAAAGCCACCACCAUCAUUGGGCUGGGAAGAGACGGGGGUAAGGGGGGAGCAAAAAGCCCCAAGCACAUCCACUCACUCAUGUGUUUCAGUGAACUGUGACUGGAAGGCCAGUCAAAAAGAGGGUCACAUGCCUCCAAGGUGAAUCAGCAAGCAUGGAAGAAAACCGGUCUGCACCUUGGUUCAUCCCAGCAACCCUGACCUGUCUAUACCCACAUCCACAUAAACCUUGCUAUCUAAUGUCACCCGAGCAGAGGCAAGAGCACAUAUACUAUCUUACAGCCACCGCAACGGCUGAUUUCAGCCAGCCUGUGGGAAAGAAAGAUCUAGCUGAG
RNAcentral lists this long non-coding RNA (1679 nucleotides) under Pan troglodytes (chimpanzee). RNAcentral's name for it is "long non-coding RNA NONPTRT000180". The record is from RNAcentral. Lineage: Eukaryota; Metazoa; Chordata; Mammalia; Primates; Hominidae.